RNAcentral lists this small RNA (28 nucleotides) under Bombyx mori (domestic silkworm). RNAcentral's name for it is "ovarian small RNA-28102". The record is from RNAcentral. Lineage: Eukaryota; Metazoa; Arthropoda; Insecta; Lepidoptera; Bombycidae.
UCCUUUGAGAUUGAGCAUAGGCAGCAGC